AUUGAACGCUGGCGGCAGGCCUAACACAUGCAAGUCGAACGGUAACAGGAAGCAGCUUGCUGCUUUGCUGACGAGGGGCGGACGGGUGAGUAAUGUCUGGGAAACUGCCUGAUGGAGGGGGAUAACUACUGGAAACGGUAGCUAAUACCGCAUAACGUCGCAAGACCAAAGAGGGGGACCUUCGGGCCGCUUGCCAUCGGCUGAUCCCAGGUUGGAUUAGCUAGUAGGUGGGGUAACGGCUCACCUAGGCGACGAUCCCUAGCUGGUCUGAGAGGAUGACCAGCCACACUGGAACUGAGACACGGUCCAGACUCCUACGGGAGGCAGCAGUGGGGAAUCUUGCACAAUGGGCGAAAGCCUGAUGCAGCCAUGCCGCGUGUAUGAAGAAGGCCUUCGGGUUGUAAAGUACUUUCAGCGGGGAGGAAGGGAGUAAAGUUAAUACCUUUGCUCAUUGACGUUACCCGCAGAAGAAGCCCCGGCUAACUCCGUG
RNAcentral lists this ribosomal RNA (490 nucleotides) under uncultured bacterium. RNAcentral's name for it is "partial 16S ribosomal RNA". It matches the Rfam family "Bacterial small subunit ribosomal RNA", at positions 30 to 507 of the family's 1533-position model. The record is from RNAcentral.